Long non-coding RNA from Homo sapiens (human), 2794 nucleotides. RefSeq lists it as uncharacterized. The transcript is spliced from 2 exons. The record is from RefSeq and is a predicted model, not a curated record. NCBI's taxonomy places the organism in Eukaryota, Metazoa, Chordata, Mammalia, Primates, Hominidae.
AAGUAAGGAAAAAAGCAACAGUGCAGACCCAAAAAAGACAGGGACAGAAGUAAUAAUGAUAAGAGCAGGAGUAACAAAACAGAAUUUUAAAAAGCCACAGGGGACUAACACUAAACUAAAUCUGAGCACUCCCAGUUUUCUCAUCUAUAGAAAGGAGGGGAUAGUAUUGACCUCAAAGUAAAGGUGUGAGGGACACAUGCCGUAAUGGGUGCAAAAGGACUUUGUGAACCGCCGAGAACUAUUCGCAUGCACUUCCAUUUUUAUUUUGUUUAUUCAACACAUAUUUACUAAUUACCUGUUCUGUGCCAGGUGACUUGUCUGGCUGUGCGGGUACAAUGCCUCCUUGGACCUUACUCUCUAUAGGAGUUGUGGAUCUUAAGCGGGUCACUGUAUGCUGUGCAGGAGAUGUGCACUGUGUAAGGAGAGCGCAUGGUGGAGAUAUAGCCUACUCAAGGAUGUUAGGAAAGUUUGGCUGGAAAAUGAGGUUCAAGCAGAGAUCAGGAGGUGGAGUGGAGGGAGAAGUACUGUGAGCAAAGGGAAGACCAAGUAUGUGUGUAAAGAGCAGGAGGCUGGGCCCAAAGUGUGUAGUGUGGUGGGAGAUGGGGUUGCAGGUGCUGGAAGGAGCUGUGCAGGCUCUCAUAGGCCGUGUUUGGGUUCUUGCAUUUUAAGAGCAAUGAGAAACUGUUCUGUUGUUUUAACCAGGGGACAGGAUGGAUUGGAAGGAGACAGAAUGAAUGUAGGGGAUUAUUUAUAAGGCCAUGCAUGGUCCAGGUGAGAGAUGAGAUGACAGUGGCUUGAAUUAAGAUGACAAAGGUAGAGAUGGGGAGAGGUGGAUGAACUUGAGAGCUAUUUCAAGGAUAAAAUCUAAACGCAUACCCUGGAGUUCAGGGACGUGGAUUAGGACACCCUACUGGAUCCCAUGGAGAAGGAUGAUUCAAGGGAUAUCUCCCUGGGGGGGUGUGGUUCUUGUUUGUGGACCCACUGGUUUAUUUACCAGAACAUGGCUCUUCUAUGCUAUCGUUUUUGCAUCUUGGGUCAAAAGACAACAAGGUUGCUGACCAGGUGGCCUCUGGUCUGGCAUCCUCUGGCCAGGCGGGUCCUGCUGCACUUGACUGAGAAAGCUGGCCGCUCGGACUACUGCUACAUUUGGUUGAAAUUUCUUUUUCUUUGUAACCUAGUAAUGCAAUAUACCUGGAGGUCCAUUUAUAUUAUUAAGCUUUUAAUACAUUUCAUAAGUAAUAUCCUACUUACUGAAAACAUUUACUGUUUAGGAUUUUCAUUAGAUCACUUGGAUAAAUGCAGAAUUCCCUUAAAGUUGACAACAAUGAGGAAACUUACAAAACAAGUGAUUUGUCAAAAGCUGAAAUCUGAAAAAUUAUGUUAGUUUUGGAGGUCUAGGUAAUUAAUACGGUUUGGAAAUAGAGGAUCUUAGUGGGUUAUAAGCACAGUAUAUAUUCAUGAAUCGGGCUUUCUGGGAAGAUGUGCCACACACUCAACAGACCUGAUUUCCUUUCUUCCUGCGACUGCAUUUCCCAGCCUCCCCUGCAGCUAGGUAAGAUCAUGUAAUGGAAUUCUGGCCAAUGGAAUAUGAGUGGAGUUAAUGUGGGUAACCUCCAUGAUGGGCAAAGAAACACCUCCCAGGAAAAAGUCUUGAUUUUUCCUCAUGUCUGCUGACUACAUAUCGACUCUUGAAUAGACUUGAGUAUCUGCUGUUGAAGGAUGCAGAGGCUCUGUCAGCCUGGGCCCCUGAGUGACUUCAUGGAGUAUACCAUCUCUCCAACUGGAUUUUAUCUUUCAGUGGUUCAGUUUUUCUCCACUGUUUCCACCAAAAUACCAUCAACAGUAAGGAAGAACAAUGUGGACCACCAGAAGGCUGGAGUGUUUUCUGAAGCUGCUCCUGCUUGGACUUUGGUUGGAAGUCGUGAUUGUCUGAGGGUUCAUGCUGGCGCUCCCCCAGUGAACCUAGCUCACCUACCCUCUGCUCUGGCUCUAGUCUCUCUUCCCUUCUUCUAAGGGAGGCUACUGCUGUGCUCAGUGCGGAGCUGGGUUCAAGGAGAGCUGGGGCUCUGAAGGAGUCGUGGGGAGAAGGCUGACAUGAGUCCUGAGUGAGUGGACCUGCUCUCUCUGGCCCUGAAGGGGUCAAGAGGCAACUGGGUGUGUGGGCUGAGUCUUUCCUGGCCCUGAAGCUGGAAGUAGAGGCUUUGUGCAGGAUCCUCAGCAGGGGACUAAAAGCCUGUGCUUUCAUAACCCGAGCCACACUGGCAAGUGCGCUGCCUCCUCCCACCUUUGAGACAGUUGCCUUCAGGAGCACAUCUACCAGAAGCCAACAAAGAAAAGCAACAGCCUCUUGGAGGGGCCUUUCUCCAGGGAGAGAAGGGUGAGGCAGCACAGGCAGAGCUGGUGUAGGAGACACAAGACAGUAUGAAUUUCAAAAUCAGAGCAUUGAAGGAGAUUCAAAUAUGGCACAAAAAGAGUUUCUGGAGCUAAAAAUCAUAAUUUCCUAACUAAAUACCAUUCAGUAGAUUAACUGAAAAAGUGGAAGAUCACCGUGAAGAUAUGGUCAGCUCUCCUGGAGGGUCAAAGGGCAGACAGACCCCUUGAUGAAAAGGGUGGUAUAGAGCAAAUGUAGAAAGAGAUGGGAAGCAAGUAGAAAUGGGUAAGGAACAUGGGAUGGAUCCUAAAACCUUGACUUGUGAAUAGAGAAACCUUGACUUGCAGAAAGAGGAAAAAAUAGAACCAACGGAGGAGAGGUGACCAUGAUACUAACAAUAAAAGAAAACUUCCCUGAACUGAA